Molecule: ribosomal RNA, 924 nt
Filed under: Candidatus Phytoplasma asteris-related phytoplasma
Lineage: Bacteria; Bacillati; Mycoplasmatota; Mollicutes; Acholeplasmatales; Acholeplasmataceae
Description: bacterial SSU rRNA
Rfam family: Bacterial small subunit ribosomal RNA
Source: RNAcentral
AGGUAUGCUUAGNNNNNAGCUUGCGUCACAUUAGUUAGUUGGUGGGGUAAAGGCCUACCAAGACUAUGAUGUGUAGCCGGGCUGAGAGGUUGAACGGCCACAUUGGGACUGAGACACGGCCCAAACUCCUACGGGAGGCAGCAGUAGGGAAUUUUCGGCAAUGGAGGAAACUCUGACCGAGCAACGCCGCGUGAACGAUGAAGUAUUUCGGUACGUAAAGUUCUUUUAUUAGGGAAGAAUAAAUGAUGGAAAAAUCAUUCUGACGGUACCUAAUGAAUAAGCCCCGGCUAACUAUGUGCCAGCAGCCGCGGUAAUACAUAGGGGGCAAGCGUUAUCCGGAAUUAUUGGGCGUAAAGGGUGCGUAGGCUGUUAAAUAAGUUUAUGGUCUAAGUGCAAUGCUCAACAUUGUGAUGCUAUAAAAACUGUUUAGCUAGAGUAAGAUAGAGGCAAGUGGAAUUCCAUGUGUAGUGGUAAAAUGCGUAAAUAUAUGGAGGAACACCAGUAGCGAAGGCGGCUUGCUGGGUCUUUACUGACGCUGAGGCACGAAAGCGUGGGGAGCAAACAGGAUUAGAUACCCUGGUAGUCCACGCCGUAAACGAUGAGUACUAAACGUUGGGUAAAACCAGUGUUGAAGUUAACACAUUAAGUACUCCGCCUGAGUAGUACGUACGCAAGUAUGAAACUUAAAGGAAUUGACGGGACUCCGCACAAGCGGUGGAUCAUGUUGUUUAAUUCGAAGGUACCCGAAAAACCUCACCAGGUCUUGACAUGCUUCUGCAAAGCUGUAGAAACACAGUGGAGGUUAUCAGUUGCACAGGUGGUGCAUGGUUGUCGUCAGCUCGUGUCGUGAGAUGUUGGGUUAAGUCCCGCAACGAGCGCAACCCUUAUUGNUAGUUGCCANCACGUAAUGGUGGGGACUUUAGC